Molecule: ribosomal RNA, 427 nt
Filed under: uncultured bacterium
Lineage: Bacteria
Description: bacterial SSU rRNA
Rfam family: Bacterial small subunit ribosomal RNA
Source: RNAcentral
UGGGGAAUUUUGGACAAUGGGCGCAAGCCUGAUCCAGCCAUGCCGCGUGCGGGAAGAAGGCCUUCGGGUUGUAAACCGCUUUUGUCGGGGAAGAAAUCUCUCGGGCUAAUACCUCGGGGGGAUGACGGUACCCGAAGAAUAAGCACCGGCUAACUACGUGCCAGCAGCCGCGGUAAUACGUAGGGUGCGAGCGUUAAUCGGAAUUACUGGGCGUAAAGCGUGCGCAGGCGGUCGUGCAAGACAGAUGUGAAAUCCCCGGGCUCAACCUGGGAACUGCAUUUGUGACUGCACGGCUGGAGUACGGCAGAGGGGGAUGGAAUUCCGCGUGUAGCAGUGAAAUGCGCAGAUAUGCGGAGGAACACCGAUGGCGAAGGCAGUCCCCUGGGCCUGUACUGACGCUCAUGCACGAAAGCGUGGGGAGCAAACA